Molecule: non-coding RNA, 306 nt
Organism: Pelobates cultripes (western spadefoot toad)
Lineage: Eukaryota; Metazoa; Chordata; Amphibia; Anura; Pelobatidae
Source: the annotation of a GenBank genome assembly
CACAAAAUAUUGGAACAUAUAAAAAAUACAAUUCUGUUCCGCAGAGUAGCUGUUGACAUUAUAGUUGCGCAGGCACUUUGACUCUAGAGAACCUCGGGCCAAUUGCACAUCCCCAUGACAGCGACUUUGCAUUUGGAUGUCAUCCAUAUCAACUUUCGAUGCCAGUUUCUGCACCUACCAUGGUGACCACAGGUAACGGGGAAUCAGGAUUCCAUUCCAUACAGGGACCCUGAGAAAUGGCUACCACAUGCAAGGAAGGCAGCAGGUGUGCAAAUGACUCACUCCCGACACGGGAAGGUAGUGACG